This 945-nucleotide ribosomal RNA is filed under the name marine sediment metagenome. Its description in RNAcentral is "bacterial SSU rRNA". It matches the Rfam family "Bacterial small subunit ribosomal RNA", at positions 8 to 951 of the family's 1533-position model. The record is from RNAcentral.
AGAGUUUGAUCCUGGCUCAGGAUGAACGCUGGCGGCGUGCCUAACACAUGCAAGUCGAGCGAGAAGGUUUAGAAUGAUUCUUCGGAUGAAUGAUAAACUGGAGAGCGGCGGACGGGUGAGUAACGCGUGGGUAACCUGCCCUAUGGAGGGGGAUAACUAAGAGAAAUUUUAGCUAAUACCGCAUAAGCACACAGGACCACAUGGUCUAGUGUGAAAAACUCCGGUGCCAUAGGAUGGACCCGCGUAAGAUUAGCUAGUUGGUAAGGUAAUGGCUUACCAAGGCGACGAUCUUUAGCCGACCUGAGAGGGUGAUCGGCCACAUUGGGACUGAGACACGGCCCAAACUCCUACGGGAGGCAGCAGUGGGGGAUAUUGCACAAUGGGCGAAAGCCUGAUGCAGCAACGCCGCGUGAGGGAAGACGGUUUUCGGAUUGUAAACCUCUGUCUUCGGUGAAGAAUAAAAUGACGGUAGCCGAGGAGGAAGCCACGGCUAACUACGUGCCAGCAGCCGCGGUAAUACGUAGGUGGCAAGCGUUGUCCGGAAUUACUGGGUGUAAAGGGAGCGCAGGCGGGAAGACAAGUCAGCUGUGAAAACUAUGGGCUCAACCCAUAAACUGCAGUUGAAACUGUUUUUCUUGAGUGGAGUAGAGGUAGGCGGAAUUCCGAGUGUAGCGGUGAAAUGCGUAGAUAUUCGGAGGAACACCAGUGGCGAAGGCGGCCUACUGGGCUCUAACUGACGCUGAGGCUCGAAAGUGUGGGGAGCAAACAGGAUUAGAUACCCUGGUAGUCCACACUGUAAACGAUGAUUGCUAGGUGUGGGGGGUCUGACCCCUUCCGUGCCGCAGCUAACGCAAUAAGCAAUCCACCUGGGGAGUACGAUCGCAAGGUUGAAACUCAAAGGAAUUGACGGGGGCCCGCACAAGCAGUGGAUUAUGUGGUUUAAUU